UUUGCAAGUUAAAAGUACAUAUUAUAAAUGUCUACAUGUAUAAGUAAAACGCGGUUGUCUCGUGAUGCUUCUAACGGUGCUGUCUUAUUGGUCGCUUUUGUUGACGUCAUGUUAAGUGACCAAUAGGAGAUCGAGUAUAAUUUAUUUUUAGAACAUGAACGUGAAUGGUGGGGAUUAAGGAAAACUCUACGUUGUACAUCGUUAUUGGAGCCACCAUUGUUGCACAACAUUUUUGGAGCUCGCACAGGGCGAUUGUGGUUUUCGUUGUGAUUGAAACACAUUAAAUAUUUUACUACAAAAUCUAUCAAUAUUAUUAGUAUACAACGGCUUUAUAUGUGUGUUAAAGUUACUUCUUUUUCAUUAAUUUUAAAGAGUAACUUGAUAUCUUUAGCGCUUGAGCCUACAAAAAGAAGACUUUUUGAGGCCUAUUCCUGUUAAGAGAGUUGCUUGGUUGGGAGCCUAAAGGUUUACAAUUUCCUUAGGGACUCAAGAAGAGUUCAAUAAAGUAAGUACCACCGCUGUAGCGGUUCUGUUCCCCCUAACCCCAUCUUAUGUUACAGGAUACAAACGUCGUACGAAGAAAGUCUAAAUUGAAAACUACCCACGACGGCUAUCAAUGAAUAUAAUUUGUCCUUCAAUAGAAAAAAAUAGGGGCGAAAUUUGAUAAAAAAUUUUAGGCGGAUAUAUCAAUAUUAUUCCGAUCAGUUUCCAUAAAUUUUUGUUAUUGUUUAUCGGUACAUAUAAACUUAAAAAAUAUAA
This is a long non-coding RNA of Danaus plexippus (monarch butterfly), 759 nucleotides long. RefSeq lists it as uncharacterized. The transcript is spliced from 2 exons. Lineage: Eukaryota; Metazoa; Arthropoda; Insecta; Lepidoptera; Nymphalidae. The record is from RefSeq and is a predicted model, not a curated record.